This 665-nucleotide unclassified non-coding RNA is filed under the name Purpureocillium lilacinum. RNAcentral describes it as "sequence contains 18S rRNA gene, ITS1, 5.8S rRNA gene, ITS2, 28S rRNA gene". The stretch from base 235 to 388 matches the Rfam family "5.8S ribosomal RNA". The record is from RNAcentral. Lineage: Eukaryota; Fungi; Ascomycota; Sordariomycetes; Hypocreales; Ophiocordycipitaceae.
AGUCGUAACAAGGUCUCCGUUGGUGAACCAGCGGAGGGAUCAUUACCGAGUUAUACAACUCCCAAACCCACUGUGAACCUUACCUCAGUUGCCUCGGCGGGAACGCCCCGGCCGCCGGCCCCCGCGCCGGCGCCGGACCCAGGCGCCCGCCGCAGGGACCCCAAACUCUCUUGCAUUACGCCCAGCGGGCGGAAUUUCUUCUCUGAGUUGCACAAGCAAAAACAAAUGAAUCAAAACUUUCAACAACGGAUCUCUUGGUUCUGGCAUCGAUGAAGAACGCAGCGAAAUGCGAUAAGUAAUGUGAAUUGCAGAAUUCAGUGAAUCAUCGAAUCUUUGAACGCACAUUGCGCCCGCCAGCAUUCUGGCGGGCAUGCCUGUUCGAGCGUCAUUUCAACCCUCGAGCCCCCCCGGGGGCCUCGGUGUUGGGGGACGGCACACCAGCCGCCCCCGAAAUGCAGUGGCGACCCCGCCGCAGCCUCCCCUGCGUAGUAGCACACACCUCGCACCGGAGCGCGGAGGCGGUCACGCCGUAAAACGCCCAACUUUCUUAGAGUUGACCUCGGAUCAGGUAGGAAUACCCGCUGAACUUAAGCAUAUCAAUAAGCGGAGGAAAAGAAACCAACAGGGAUUGCCCCAGUAACGGCGAGUGAAGCGGCAACAGCUCA